CCUACGGGAGGCAGCAGUGAGGAAUAUUGGUCAAUGGUCGGGAGACUGAACCAGCCAAGCCGCGUGAGGGAUGAAGGUACAGAGUAUCGUAAACCUCUUUUGUCAGGGAACAAAGGCGGGGACGUGUCCCCGGAUGAGUGUACCUGAAGAAAAAGCAUCGGCUAACUCCGUGCCAGCAGCCGCGGUAAUACGGAGGAUGCGAGCGUUAUCCGGAUUUAUUGGGUUGAACGGGUGCGCAGGCGGUCUGUUAAGUCAGCGGUAAAAGCCCGGGGCUCAACCCCGGCCCGCCGUUGAAACUGGCAGUCUCGAGUUGGAGAGAAGUAUACGGAAUGCGCGGUGUAGCGGUGAAAUGCAGAGAUAUCGCGCAGAACUCCGAUUGCGAAGGCAGCAUGCCGGCUCCACACUGACGCUGAGGCACGAAAGCGUGGGUAUCGAACAGGAUUAGAUACCCCAGUAGUC
RNAcentral lists this ribosomal RNA (459 nucleotides) under uncultured bacterium. RNAcentral's name for it is "partial 16S ribosomal RNA". It matches the Rfam family "Bacterial small subunit ribosomal RNA", at positions 338 to 795 of the family's 1533-position model. The record is from RNAcentral.